RNAcentral lists this ribosomal RNA (468 nucleotides) under uncultured bacterium. RNAcentral's name for it is "partial 16S ribosomal RNA". It matches the Rfam family "Bacterial small subunit ribosomal RNA", at positions 28 to 523 of the family's 1533-position model. The record is from RNAcentral.
GAUGAACGCUGGCGGCGUGCCUAACACAUGCAAGUCGAGCGAUUCUCUUCGGAGAAGAGCGGCGGACGGGUGAGUAACGCGUGGGUAGCCUGCCCUGUACACACGGAUAACAUACCGAAAGGUAUGCUAAUACGAGCUAAUAUACAUUUAUCGUAUGGUAGAAGAAUCAAAGCUCCGGCGGUACAGGAUGGACCCGCGUCUGAUUAGCUAGUUGGUGAGGUAACGGCUUACCAAGGCGACGAUCAGUAGCCGACCUGAGAGGGUGAUCGGCCACAUUGGAACUGAGACACGGUCCAAACUCCUACGGGAGGCAGCAGUGGGGAAUAUUGCACAAUGGGCGAAAGCCUGAUGCAGCAACGCCGCGUGAGCGAUGAAGGCCUUCGGGUCGUAAAGCUCUGUCCUCAAGGAAGAUAAUGACGGUACUUGAGGAGGAAGCCCCGGCUAACUACGUGCCAGCCGCCGCAGUAA